Austrofundulus limnaeus is the source of this 1589-nucleotide RNA transcript. It is a transcript of the gene named CD74 molecule, major histocompatibility complex, class II invariant chain a, with no coding region annotated. NCBI's taxonomy places the organism in Eukaryota, Metazoa, Chordata, Actinopteri, Cyprinodontiformes, Rivulidae. The record is from RefSeq and is a predicted model, not a curated record. The transcript has 9 exons.
UGUUGCUUCCUCAUUCUGUGGAGGAUUUAUGUCUUGGAGAAGCUGAAUCCUUCCUCAUUCUGUGUUUGCUGAAGAAGUUGAGACAGACCUCCAGCAGGGAUGGCCGACGGUGUCGAUGAUGCUCCCCGGGAUGGAGGCAGCUUGGCGGGCAGCGAAGAAUGCCUGGUGACCUACAGAAACCCUGGUGAACCGAGAGGAGGUUCCAACAGUCGGGCCCUGAAGAUCGCCGGCCUCACCACGCUGGCCUGUCUGCUGUUGGCCAGCCAGGUCUUCACAGCCUACAUGGUGUUUGACCAGAAASAGCAGAUCCACAACCUGCAGAAGAACUCGGAGAGGAUGGGGAAACAGCUGACACGCUCGUCUCACGCCGUGGCCCCGGCAAGGAUGGCCAUCCCCAUGAGCAGCCUGCCUCUGCUGACAGAGUUCACUGAAGAGGACACCAAAAAAUCUGAGACACCCAUGACUAAGCUGCAGGACAUUGCUGUCGUCAGCGUGGAGAAACAGCUGAUGGAUCUCAUGAAGGACUUCAGCGUGCCGCAGUUCAACCAGACCUUCCUGGCCAACAUGCAGAGCCUGAAGCAGCGGAUGAACGACAGCGAGUGGCAGGGCUUUGAGUCGUGGAUGCGCCAUUGGCUGAUCUUCCAGAUGGCCCAGCAGCCGCCAGCAUCCUCCAUCUCUCAGCCAGCCUCUCUGAUCAAGACCAAAUGCCAGAUGGAGGCGUCGCCCACAUCCCGCAAGAUCGGUACCUACAAGCCGCAGUGUGACGAGCAGGGCCACUACCUGCCCAUGCAGUGCUGGAGCGGCACCGGAUACUGCUGGUGUGUGGACGAGUUUGGCAACCCCAUCCAGGGCAGCCAGAUCCGCGGCCGCCCCGACUGCCGCAGAGGUGCAGUUUAGGUGCAGCAGCAGCAGCACGACCCAGCCUCAUGCAGACAACUUAUCUUGAGGAUGAAAAAAACUUAUCGGAUGAAGCAGACCACACAGCAAGUCAUUUCUUCUUCCUGCCCAAUGUCUGGAGACGUGUGGAAUUGAUUAAAUUAAAUUUGAUGCUGAUCGCCGAACUUUGGCACUUUUAACUUUUAAUGCACUUAGAUGUAAUCAGUUCAUCUUCUUCCUGCUAGCUGCUUCAAAUCCAAUCAGAGGAGGCUUGAUGCACAUCUGCUUUUAAUGUGGUUAAUUUGGGUCUUUUUUAUUAUUACUGAUUUAAUUUGGGUGUUUUCAUUUAAAUAGCAUUCAGUACAAUAAACUAUGUGUUUCAUGUGUUUAAAUGGUCAGUUCAUCUUAAUUAGAAACAAACUGGAUGUGUUUCCAGUUACACCUGUCUGGAUUUGAGUGUUUUUGUUUUUUGGUCAGUUCAACAUGAAGGGAAGUUAAAAUAAUAAAAAGCUUAUUUAGGAAUAGAAAUCAGCUGUAGCUGUUCACAUAAUGGGUUAUUUAGAUUAAAGGGGAUUCUACUUCUGAGUAUAGUUCUCAUAUUUGGAUGAACUGACCUUUAUUUUUUUAAAGGAUGUAGACAUGAGAGUAAGAGACUCUUCUAUCAAUUUGUAUGUACGAAGAAGGUAAAAUAAAGUAUUCUCUACAACACCUGA